AGAGUUGAUUAUGGCUCAGGACGAACGCUGGCGGCGUGCUUAACACAUGCAAGUCGAACGGGAGUAUUGAAGAAGCUUGCUUAGAGAUACUUUAGUGGCGGACGGGUGAGUAACGCGUGAGGAGCUGUCCUAUGCAGGGGGACAACAGCUGGAAACGGCUGCUAAUACCCCAUAAGCCGAGAGGUAAAAGGAUCAAUCCGGCAGAGGAGGUACUCGCGUCCUAUCAGCUAGUAGGUGAGGUAACGGCUCACCUAGGCGAAGACGGGUAGCCGGCCUGAGAGGGCGAACGGCCACACUGGAACUGAGAUACGGUCCAGACUCCUACGGGAGGCAGCAGUGGGGAAUAUUGAGCAAUGGGGGGAAACCCUGACCCAGCGACGCCGCGUGGGUGAAGAAAUCCUUCGGGAUGUAAAGCCCUGUUGUAUGGGAAGAGCGGAAGACGGUACCAUACGAGGAAGCCCCGGCAAACUACGUGCCAGCCGCCGC
Molecule: ribosomal RNA, 486 nt
Filed under: uncultured bacterium
Lineage: Bacteria
Description: bacterial SSU rRNA
Rfam family: Bacterial small subunit ribosomal RNA
Source: RNAcentral